UCUGCUCGCUGACCUGUCACGGGAGGACUUCAAAAGGGUUGAGGAACUUCAUAAACAGAGGAUGGCAAUUAAGGAGGAUAAAGAGGCUGACAUUAGAUGAGUGCCAACAGCUUCUACAAAGAUGCCUCACUCGUGAACCUUGUCUCAUCUUUGAUCUCAUGAGUCUCCCCCCCCCCCCCCCCCACCAGGACCUCCUCAUCCACAGGGACCCAGCUGGUGUGUCUGUAGAAACUGCAGAAAUAUGCCAACACUGCUGGAACAGAAAUGCUGUCAACAACAACCACAAAACUGCACAUCACUGUUGCCACACAUGGAGCUAUACAUCUUGCAGGAAGGUGUGCUGAGACUGGCCAGGCGAAUCUGGAAUGGCCUUAGGGCAGAGGUGGACAUCCAGGAUAUGGGAGAAAGUCACAGACAGUUCCGCUAUGCUGCAUAUAGGAACUUUGUUGUAUGGCAAUAUGGUGUUCUGGGACCAGGAUAUAGAAUUGUUAUAGCUUCAUGCUGUGUGUGGAAAAUUAGAGAUCGUUUCCCGGAUCCUAAUGGCAAUUACGUAGGCUUCAUUCCGGCCAGAGUGUAAACCUAUUGUGUAUUCACAAUAAAUCUUCUUUAUUGGGCUUUAUUCUAAGAUACCUCAGGAGCUACACUUGCACACUAAAAUAAGCUGGAUCAAUACAUGUGUGUAUUUGACACUACAAUUUUGUACCAUUUACUUUUUUUGAUAUGUUGAUAAUAAAGUCUCUUCCAAACAUA
Molecule: long non-coding RNA, 750 nt
Organism: Sander lucioperca (pikeperch)
Lineage: Eukaryota; Metazoa; Chordata; Actinopteri; Perciformes; Percidae
Exons: 2
Source: RefSeq, a predicted model, not a curated record